UCAUGUGCACAGGGCAGUCGCGAAGCUUGAUGAUUGCUUAGCGUGAUGGCUUAAAAUUACCGAAUAUUUCGCAGAGUGAGAGAAUAAAUAUCAAAGCCUGCAAUGGCAAAAUUUUUAUAUAGAGAGUUCUGCAAUCAUGUUUAUUUAGGGCAAUGGGAGUUGGCUCGAGCUUGUGCUAUAGCUUUAAUAAAGAAUGAUACUCAUGGAAAUAAUGAAAAGGAACUAUUGCUUUCAACGCUGAAAAAUCUUGCGAAGGAUCCUUUUUUAGCUAGAUCUGCAUGGGGGACUUUACCAUCUCCAAGCUACAUAAACUUUUUGUCAUGUCAGUUAUUGUUGGAUUUAGGAUAUACAGAUGAAAUUAAGAUUUGGAGAAGAAGUGCUGAUUUUAACAUUUUGUUGGAAACAUAUUUCCGGAAACCAAGAGAUGCACUCAGGGAUCUAGCUUAUAUUUAUUCUCAAGUCUCCUGUCAUGGAUCUAAAGAGUAUGAUGUUACAAAGAAUAAAAACUUGGAACUUUCUCCUGAAAGCAUCUCAUUGUUAAAAAAAGCAAUUACACAUGAGCCAUUGAUAACGUGUGUGCUUAUUUGUGCAAUAUGUAUCCCAGUGUAUUAUGAAUCUGCAUCUAGUUUUAACAUUGUAUUAUGUAACAUUAUUCUCCAGUAUGUCUUAAACUGCCUUAAUUCAUUGAAAUCUGCUUUUAAUAAGCAUGAUGAUGUUCAUCAUGUGGAAGAAUUAUCAUCAAAAGUAUAUUUAUUACUCAGUGUUUUACCUGAAUGUACAUUAGAAAAAGUCAUGAAGAAAUCUAUUGAUGAAAUUUUUUUACUUGCACAUUACUUGUGCAAAUCUGGAGCUCUAGAACAUGAAAAAGUGUAUAGAUCUUUACUUGGUCGACCUUCACCUCACGGUCUACAGUACUACUGCAAACUUGAAGAUGAUAUCGGAUGUGAUAUUUCUAACAUUAGAGAAAAUAUUUGCUUAUGUUAUAUAUCUGAUGAAGGUAACUUUAGUCAUCGACAGGCUUUACUGAGCAGUGUCAAUUCAUCAUCACAUUUUCUUCUAGAUUUAAUUGAUUAUUGCAUUCAAAAUAUUAUAAGUGGUAAUUAUGAACUUGUAUGGGAUUCACUAAAAGAUGAUUUAUUAUCACGUUUAAAGCCUUUAAUCUUGAUUUUAUCAUGGGGAAGGAGCUGUGAUGAUGUUUCUGCAACAAAUGUCAUUCAGGUUAUGAAAUCGUGGAACGAAGUUAAUGAAUCUCCUUUGAAUGAAGUUUGCAAAGAAUUCAAAAGAAAUGCUUACUUGACAGAUUUAUUUAUUGCUUAUUAUCAGGAAUUGCAUCCUUCAAGUAGCAGCAGCAAAAUUCAAAACAAAGCUCGAAAUGUUUUCAUGCAGCUCCAAACUCAAUCCAUCUUAAGUAUUCUUCAUACUGAGUUUGGCUUGAAAAAUAUUUCAUUUGAAAAAAUAUUAGAAUUCUUGAAUCCUGAACAAGGAAAUUCAUCUGUUUGCAAUGAAUCUGUCUCAUCACAUCUUACUGAUAGAGCUAUUUACUCAGGAUAUUUAAUUAUGAUUUGGAUAAUGGAAGCUGUACUUUUAUGUUGUGAAUAUAAAAGUGUAAUUGUUACUAAAAAACUUGUUAUUUCUGAUGUUUUAUAUAAAUCCUGUGACUCUUUUAAUGCAUCUGAAAAUCAAACAGUUUUUCUGUGCAACUGUGAUUCUGUAGCUGAAUGUAUAAAUAAUCAUGGAGCUCAAUAUGCCUAUUCUAGAUUUAUUGUUGAACGUCUUGAAAAAGCAAAAAAUGAAGUUAAGAAACUUUUUCCUAUUGCUUUCAGGGUAGAAGUUCUGGAGAAUAUAUUUUCUAUGCUUUUUUUAAUGUCACAUAACUUAGUUGAUGCACUGGAACAGUGUUCAGAUUCAGAUCAAGGUUGUGAAGGUGAAAAUUUUGUUCUUCCUGGUAGUGGUACAGAACCCUUUCUUGUGAUGAAACAGUCAACAGAAACAGAGAAAAAAUAUUCAGACAAAUUUACAGUGCAUUCUGUAAAAGAUCCUAUCACAUCAAGAGCAAGAAGGGAUACACUUGAAAACUACUCAGGUCAUAGUUCCAAGAGCACUGAAAGUAAUAGUUCUAAUGGACUUCAGUCUUGCACAUUUCUUUGCAACGAACUCAUAACACGUGAUCUUCUGUUCUUAUUGAAGGAUUCUGUCAUAGAAGCCAAAGCAGAAGUGUAUAAAGCUAUUAGCAAUUCUGAUAUUAAUGUAAAAGGCAAGAUUGUUACUGAAAGUGGCCAGGCAAUGACACAAGUGAAGGAUGCAACAGCAACGAAGUUAUCAAUAUGUACCGAUGAUUUGCAUCAGCGCACAUCACAGCUUUUACAAUAUAUCAGUGAAGCCAUAUGGCGUUAUGAAAUAGUGAAAUCUGAUAUUUUCCAAGAGCCAUUUAGUUUUUCUACAUUACAGAAGAAGACACCUUAUCUCUUUCAAUCCCAACAAAGUGUUUCCUCCUCAGAUGGAACUGACAAAGAAAACAAAAAGCGCCGAAAGAAAAAGAAGAAGCAUAAGCAUAAUUUCUCUAGUCACAAAAAAGAUUCUUUUGCUGAAUCAAGCAUCAUCCAGUGCAUGCUGUCAUCUCCUGAAGCUCUUUUACGAUAUUCCUUGUGGAACAAAAAUUUGGUUCAAGCAGGGCAAGUCAUCAAACUGUUUCAUCUACAAGCAUCAAAUGAAGCAAGAGAACUUACACUUGUGCAUGAGUUGCAGAGGAUAUCAAAAAAGUUGUCUGAAAGUGAAAAAAUAAAAACAAAAUCCAUUAAAAAAGAAACUGCAUCUCCAAAUGGGGAAAAAUCACUUAUGUCGAAUAUUUUAGCCAUUGAAGAUGCAGCUGCAUCUGGAUUACAAUCAUCAGAAAUAUGCUUAAUUAUCAAUCAAGAACUUAGCAGUUUAAAAGUUCCUGAGAUUAUAGAUGUUACUGGAGGUAUUAGACAUCCCGAACUUGUAUUAGGUUCUGAAAAUAUUUAUUCUGUUUUUUUAGCUGACUUAAGUUGUACUUUUGGAGCUUCAAUAGAACUAUCUUCUAUUCUUUUAGAUAUGGCUAGUAGAAGCUGGAAUAAUUCAAGAAAAAAUAUUAAUGAAUUAGAUGUUAAAGUUUUAUCUAAAAAGAAAAUGUCAUUGAUUAGAGGGAAUUUCAAAACACUUCAGAUGUUGACUUCAUUAGUAAAAGAAUUCAAAAGUGUAAUUGAGGAACCUGAUUUUAAUGCUGAUUUGUUUUCUAUGUUUUGGCCUACAAAUCUAAAUUUAAAAUCAUUUUCACAGGCCUUAUUUAUUUUUGUUGGCAAUUUAGACUGUCAGAGAUUCCGAGAAGAAAUUAACAACUGGAAACGAGCAUCCAUUUUGCUUGAAGAAUUUUCAGCAAUGAUUGUAGAGGAAGAGUUGAGAGAGGAAAGUGGAACUUUACAAAAAGAUAUUACUCGGGAAAACAAACUGCAUAUGACAUACAAAAAAUUAUCCAAAGUUCUUAGGGAGCUACGAGAUUGGUCUUCAGAAACUAUUCGACCACAGCCAUUACGAUAUGAUAACUAUCUAAGUAAUCUUUUAAUUCAUCUGCAUCAAGUUACAACUGCUGUUUUGGAUUGCAAGAAACAGAGUCUGGAUGCUGGGCCUCUAGUUUACACAUCAGAUUUUUCCAUUUUAAAAGAAAGCCCUGUUGAAUUACUUAAAAAGAUUAUAUUGCACAGUAAUGUGACACCAGAAAAAGUUUUUAGUUUUAACCGGGGCCCACCAACCAGUCCGUCUGCACCAUGAUGAAGUUCGACCACUUGUCCUAGUGGCCAAGAACCUGGAAGAUGACCAUCAUCUAGUAACAGGACGAUGUCUCCAAUUUUCAUAUUCGGCCGAGUGUCCUUCCAUUUCUUUCUGGUUUAAAUUGAAUCAUUUGCAGUUCGUAUGAAAGUAGACCUUGUUCAUGUUCUUGCACAAGCUUGUCUGCCUCAUGUUCCACUAAUAAAUAAAAAUAUAUCCUAUGACAUAUUAUUAGAAUAUGCAAGCUAUAGUACUGA
Molecule: unclassified non-coding RNA, 4040 nt
Filed under: Stegodyphus dumicola
Lineage: Eukaryota; Metazoa; Arthropoda; Arachnida; Araneae; Eresidae
Description: uncharacterized LOC118205897, transcript variant X1
Source: RNAcentral